RNAcentral lists this microRNA precursor (82 nucleotides) under Dipodomys ordii (Ord's kangaroo rat). RNAcentral describes it as "mir-3473 microRNA precursor family". It matches the Rfam family "mir-3473 microRNA precursor family". The record is from Rfam by way of RNAcentral. Lineage: Eukaryota; Metazoa; Chordata; Mammalia; Rodentia; Heteromyidae.
ACCACUGAGCCACCUUCCCAGCCCGAAUAUUGGAUUUUUUAAAGAAAUUCUUCCUCCCGGGCUGGGAAGGUGGCUCAGUGGU